Molecule: ribosomal RNA, 765 nt
Filed under: Bacillus sp. IDA3120
Lineage: Bacteria; Bacillati; Bacillota; Bacilli; Caryophanales; Bacillaceae
Description: bacterial SSU rRNA
Rfam family: Bacterial small subunit ribosomal RNA
Source: RNAcentral
GCUGGCGGCUUGCCUAAUACAUGCAAGUCGAGCGAAUCUUUGGGAGCUUGCUCCCAUUGGUUAGCGGCGGACGGGUGAGUAACACGUGGGCAACCUGCCUGUAAGACUGGGAUAACUUCGGGAAACCGGAGCUAAUACCGGAUAAUCCAUUUCCUCUCAUGAGGAAAUGCUGAAAGUCGGUUUCGGCUGACACUUACAGAUGGGCCCGCGGCGCAUUAGCUAGUUGGUGAGGUAACGGCUCACCAAGGCGACGAUGCGUAGCCGACCUGAGAGGGUGAUCGGCCACACUGGGACUGAGACACGGCCCAGACUCCUACGGGAGGCAGCAGUAGGGAAUCUUCCACAAUGGACGAAAGUCUGAUGGAGCAACGCCGCGUGAGCGAUGAAGGCCUUCGGGUCGUAAAGCUCUGUUGUUAGGGAAGAACAAGUACCGGAGUAACUGCCGGUACCUUGACGGUACCUAACCAGAAAGCCACGGCUAACUACGUGCCAGCAGCCGCGGUAAUACGUAGGUGGCAAGCGUUGUCCGGAAUUAUUGGGCGUAAAGCGCGCGCAGGCGGUCCUUUAAGUCUGAUGUGAAAGCCCACGGCUCAACCGUGGAGGGUCAUUGGAAACUGGGGGACUUGAGUGCAGAAGAGGAAAGCGGAAUUCCACGUGUAGCGGUGAAAUGCGUAGAGAUGUGGAGGAACACCAGUGGCGAAGGCGGCUUUCUGGUCUGUAACUGACGCUGAGGCGCGAAAGCGUGGGGAGCAAACAGGAUUAGAU